GCCCCCAUAGCUCAGUAGGUAGAGCGACGGACUGUUAAUCCGUAGGUCGCAGGUUCGAGUCCUGCUGGGGGCG
This 73-nucleotide transfer RNA is filed under the name Methanotorris igneus Kol 5. It matches the Rfam family "tRNA". Rfam says of the family: Transfer RNA (tRNA) molecules are approximately 80 nucleotides in length. Their secondary structure includes four short double-helical elements and three loops (D, anti-codon, and T loops). Further hydrogen bonds mediate the characteristic L-shaped molecular structure. tRNAs have two regions of fundamental functional importance: the anti-codon, which is responsible for specific mRNA codon recognition, and the 3' end, to which the tRNAs corresponding amino acid is attached (by aminoacyl-tRNA synthetases). tRNAs cope with the degeneracy of the genetic code in two manners: having more than one tRNA (with a specific anti-codon) for a particular amino acid; and 'wobble' base-pairing, i.e. permitting non-standard base-pairing at the 3rd anti-codon position. RNAcentral also lists the same sequence under 1 other name. Lineage: Archaea; Methanobacteriati; Methanobacteriota; Methanococci; Methanococcales; Methanocaldococcaceae. The record is from Rfam by way of RNAcentral.